RNAcentral lists this ribosomal RNA (468 nucleotides) under uncultured bacterium. RNAcentral's name for it is "partial 16S ribosomal RNA". It matches the Rfam family "Bacterial small subunit ribosomal RNA", at positions 28 to 507 of the family's 1533-position model. The record is from RNAcentral.
GACGAACGCUGGCGGCGUGCUUAACACAUGCCAGUCGAACGGAAAGGCCCUGCUUUUGUGGGGUGCUCGAGUGGCGAACGGGUGAGUAACACGUGAGUAACCUGCCCUUGACUUUGGGAGAACUUCAGGAAACUGGGGCUAAUACCGGAUAGGAGCUCCUGCUGCAUGGUGGGGGUUGGAAAGUUUCGGCUGUUGGGGAUGGACUCGCGGCUUAUCAGCUUGUUGGUGGGGUAGGUGCUUACCAAGGCUUUGACGGGUAGCCGGCCUGGGAGGGUGACCGGCCACAUUGGGCCUGCGAGACGGACCAGACUCCUACGGGAGGCAGCAGUGGGGAAUAUUGCACAAUGGGCGGAAGCCUGAGGCAGCAACGCCGCGUGCGGGAUGACGGCCUUCGGGUUGUAAACCGCUUUCGCCUGUGACGAAGCGUGAGUGACGGUAAUGGGUAAAGAAGCACCGGCUAACUACGUG